UACAACGGCCUUACCACCAUGGACACGCCCAAUCUCGUCUGAUCUUGGAAGCUAAGCAUGAUCGGGCCUGGUUAGUACCUGGAUGGGAGACCGCCUGGGAAUACCAGGUGCUGUAAGUG
This is a ribosomal RNA of Gadus morhua (Atlantic cod), 119 nucleotides long. The record is from Ensembl. Lineage: Eukaryota; Metazoa; Chordata; Actinopteri; Gadiformes; Gadidae.